RNAcentral lists this ribosomal RNA (251 nucleotides) under uncultured bacterium. Its description in RNAcentral is "partial 16S ribosomal RNA". It matches the Rfam family "Bacterial small subunit ribosomal RNA", at positions 526 to 776 of the family's 1533-position model. The record is from RNAcentral.
CGUAGGUGGCAAGCGUUGUCCGGAAUUAUUGGGCUUAAAGCGCGCGCAGGCGGCCUCUUAAGUCUGAUGUGAAAGCCCCCGGCUCAACCGGGGAGGGCCAUUGGAAACUGGGAGGCUUGAGUAUAGGAGAGAAGAGUGGAAUUCCACGUGUAGCGGUGAAAUGCGUAGAGAUGUGGAGGAACACCAGUGGCGAAGGCGACUCUUUGGCCUAUAACUGACGCUGAGGCGCGAAAGCGUGGGGAGCAAACAGG